This 468-nucleotide ribosomal RNA is filed under the name uncultured bacterium. RNAcentral describes it as "partial 16S ribosomal RNA". It matches the Rfam family "Bacterial small subunit ribosomal RNA", at positions 28 to 507 of the family's 1533-position model. The record is from RNAcentral.
GACGAACGCUGGCGGCGUGCUUAACACAUGCAAGUCGAACGGAAAGGCCCUGCUUUUGUGGGGUGCUCGAGUGGCGAACGGGUGAGUAACACGUGAGUAACCUGCCCUUGACUUUGGGAUAACUUCAGGAAACUGGGGCUAAUACCGGAUAGGAGCUCCUGCUGCAUGGUGGGGGUUGGAAAGUUUCGGCGGUUGGGGAUGGACUCGCGGCUUAUCAGCUUGUUGGUGGGGUAGUGGCUUACCAAGGCUUUGACGGGUAGCCGGCCUGAGAGGGUGACCGGCCACAUUGGGACUGAGGUACGGACCAGACUCCUACGGGAGGCAGCAGUGGGGAAUAUUGCACAAUGGGCGGAAGCCUGAUGCAGCAACGCCGCGUGCGGGAUGACGGCCUUCGGGUUGUAAACCGCUUUCGACUGUGACGAAGCGUGAGUGACGGUAAUGGGUAAAGAAGCACCGGCUAACUACGUG